GGAGGGGUGCCCGAGUGGUUAAAGGGGACGGACUGUAAAUCCGUUGGCUAGGCCUACGUUGGUUCGAAUCCAACCCCCUCCACCA
RNAcentral lists this transfer RNA (85 nucleotides) under Hyphomicrobiaceae bacterium. RNAcentral describes it as "tRNA-Tyr". It matches the Rfam family "tRNA". From Rfam's summary of the family: Transfer RNA (tRNA) molecules are approximately 80 nucleotides in length. Their secondary structure includes four short double-helical elements and three loops (D, anti-codon, and T loops). The record is from RNAcentral. Lineage: Bacteria; Pseudomonadati; Pseudomonadota; Alphaproteobacteria; Hyphomicrobiales; Hyphomicrobiaceae.